This 467-nucleotide ribosomal RNA is filed under the name uncultured bacterium. RNAcentral's name for it is "partial 16S ribosomal RNA". It matches the Rfam family "Bacterial small subunit ribosomal RNA", at positions 28 to 506 of the family's 1533-position model. The record is from RNAcentral.
GACGAACGCUGGCGGCGUGCUUAACACAUGCAAGUCGAACGGAAAGGCCCUGCUUUUGUGGGGUGCUCGGGUGGCGAACGGGUGAGUAACACGUGAGUAACCUGCCCUUGACUUUGGGAUAACUUCAGGAAACUGGGGCUAAUACCGGAUAGGAGCUCCUGCUGCAUGGUGGGGGUUGGAAAGUUUCGGCGGUUGGGGAUGGACUCGCGGCUUAUCAGCUUGUUGGUGGGGUAGUGGCUUACCAAGGCUUUGACGGGUAGCCGGCCUGAGAGGGUGACCGGCCACAUUGGGACUGAGAUACGGCCCAGACUCCUACGGGAGGCAGCAGUGGGGAAUAUUGCACAAUGGGCGGAAGCCUGAUGCAGCAACGCCGCGUGCGGGAUGACGGCCUUCGGGUUGUAAACCGCUUUCGCCUGUGACGAAGCGUGAGUGACGGUAAUGGGUAAAGAAGCACCGGCGAACUACGU